Vigna angularis (adzuki bean) is the source of this 291-nucleotide RNA transcript. RefSeq lists it as uncharacterized. NCBI's taxonomy places the organism in Eukaryota, Viridiplantae, Streptophyta, Magnoliopsida, Fabales, Fabaceae. The record is from RefSeq and is a predicted model, not a curated record. The transcript is spliced from 3 exons.
GCACUGCAAAAGAAAGGACACCUUGUUGAAAUUGUGCUUCCCAAAUAUGAUUGUAAGCAAUAUGAUCGUGUCUGCAACUUACGGGCUUUGAGCGUGGAGAUAGAAUCAUACUUUGAUCACCAAUUAUACAAAAGUAAAAUCUGGGUUGGCAGUGUUGUAGGUCUUCCUGUUUAUUUUAUUGAGCCCCAGCAUCCUUCUAAGUUCUUUUGGAGAGGAAAAUUUUAUGGCGAGCAUGAUGAUUUCAGACGAUUUUCAUUUUUUAGCCGUGCUGCUCUUGAGUUUCUUCUACAA